Molecule: microRNA precursor, 148 nt
Organism: Populus trichocarpa (black cottonwood)
Lineage: Eukaryota; Viridiplantae; Streptophyta; Magnoliopsida; Malpighiales; Salicaceae
Rfam family: MIR480 microRNA precursor family
Source: Rfam
UAAUCUAUUUGGGGCAGAUCCUCAUUUAGUUAUGACAGACUCAUACUUAACUGCUUAAAAUCACUCGUUAUCACAAGUGUGACUGCAUCAUUGACAUUGAAAAACAGAGGACAACUACUGUGUGAAUAAUAACUUUUUGAAAUUUUAA